CCUACGGGGGGCAGCAGUGGGGAAUAUUGGACAAUGGGGGGAACCCUGAUCCAGCCAUGCCGCGUGUGUGAAGAAGGCCCUCGGGUUGUAAAGCACUUUCAGUGAGGAAGAACGCCUGGUGGUUAAUACCCAUCAGGAAAGACAUCACUCACAGAAGAAGCACCGGCUAACUCCGUGCCAGCAGCCGCGGUAAUACGGAGGGUGCGAGCGUUAAUCGGAAUUACUGGGCGUAAAGCGCGCGUAGGUGGCUUGAUAAGCCGGUUGUGAAAGCCCCGGGCUCAACCUGGGAACGGCAUCCGGAACUGUCAAGCUAGAGUGCAGGAGAGGAAGGUAGAAUUCCCGGUGUAGCGAUGAAAUGCGUAGAGAUCGGGAGGAAUACCAGUGGCGAAGGCGGCCUUCUGGACUGACACUGACACUGAGGUGCGAAAGCGUGGGUAGCAAACAGGAUUAGAUACCCCAGUAGUC
RNAcentral lists this ribosomal RNA (465 nucleotides) under Vreelandella stevensii. RNAcentral's name for it is "partial 16S ribosomal RNA". It matches the Rfam family "Bacterial small subunit ribosomal RNA", at positions 338 to 795 of the family's 1533-position model. The record is from RNAcentral. Lineage: Bacteria; Pseudomonadati; Pseudomonadota; Gammaproteobacteria; Oceanospirillales; Halomonadaceae.